UUAGAGGCAAACGGGUGGACCCGCAAUAGACGUCGACCCGGGGGAUUCAACCAGGCCGUGCGUUCGGGACGCGUGGGGGUUAUGCGGAGCUGUAAAGCCCGUGCCUUUGCGCAGGUCUCCGGGCGGACUGGUGCACUUUCCUCGGGUUGAUUGCCACGACCGGCUCUCCGUGCGGCCAAAAGCCUUUGCUGGGAAGGUGACCGUCGGCCUCCGCGGCGGCGGUGUUAUAGACUAGCUUGUUCGUUGAGCUCGUCGGAGGGCCGAGGAAGUGUUGCCGUUUCUCGUCCACCCUCUGGCCAUCCUUGCUCGUCACGACUGGGGUGAACUGCUUGGCCAGUGCUCUCCCGACCGCGAGCGUAGGAAGGGCUGGUACGGUGCGAGAAAGCUUCGGGCCAGUGGCGAAUCGGUCGGUCCUCCACCCGACCCGUCUUGAA
This 434-nucleotide ribosomal RNA is filed under the name Cyrtonaias tampicoensis. RNAcentral's name for it is "partial 28S large subunit ribosomal RNA". The record is from RNAcentral. Lineage: Eukaryota; Metazoa; Mollusca; Bivalvia; Unionida; Unionidae.